CAGUGGGAGUCAAACCCACCAGAACAAAAGUCAGAGUUCUGUAGCUGGGAUAGCCGGGAGGGAAGGAAACUGAACUCCGGAAAUCUAUCGACAAAGCCAUCUUUGGGAUGGCGAGCGAGUCAUCGGGCCGUAACGAAA
Molecule: non-coding RNA, 138 nt
Organism: Acidobacteria bacterium 13_2_20CM_56_17
Lineage: Bacteria; Pseudomonadati; Acidobacteriota
Source: Rfam